This 500-nucleotide ribosomal RNA is filed under the name uncultured bacterium. RNAcentral describes it as "partial 16S ribosomal RNA". It matches the Rfam family "Bacterial small subunit ribosomal RNA", at positions 30 to 523 of the family's 1533-position model. The record is from RNAcentral.
AUUGAACGCUGGCGGCAGGCUUAACACAUGCAAGUCGAGCGGGGGAAGGUAGCUUGCUACCGGACCUAGCGGCGGACGGGUGAGUAAUGCUUAGGAAUCUGCCUAUUAGUGGGGGACAACAUCUCGAAAGGGAUGCUAAUACCGCAUACGUCCUACGGGAGAAAGCAGGGAAUCUUCGGACCUUGCGCUAAUAGAUGAGCCUAAGUCGGAUUAGCUAGUUGGUGGGGUAAAGGCCUACCAAGGCGACGAUCUGUAGCGGGUCUGAGAGGAUGAUCGGCCAGGCUGGGACUGGGACACGGCCCAGACUCCUACGGGAGGAAGCAGUGGGGAAUAUUGGACAAGGGGGGAACCCUGAUCCAGCCAUGCCGCGUGUGUGAAGAAGGCCUUAUGGUUGUAAAGCACUUUAAGCGAGGAGGAGGCUACUCUAGUUAAUACCUAGGGAUAGUGGACGUUACUCGCAGAAUAAGCACCGGCUAACUCUGUGCCAGCCGCCGCCGUAA